Molecule: long non-coding RNA, 391 nt
Organism: Helianthus annuus (common sunflower)
Lineage: Eukaryota; Viridiplantae; Streptophyta; Magnoliopsida; Asterales; Asteraceae
Exons: 3
Source: RefSeq, a predicted model, not a curated record
AUCAGGAGCCAGAAAGGGGGGUCUUGUUCACAACCCUAAACCACAAGAAACUCAAGAAAACAAGAGCAAUCAAGUCAAAAGAAUUGGGGCUUUAACUAAAAUCGUGAUCACCUAAGUUAGUAGAUCACAAGACAAAGGAAUUGAAUCUUCAAGCGGACGAGCCGGAGUUGAUGCGCGCUUGAAGGAAAAGCACUAAAGGUGAUGAUGGGGUCGUUCCGGUUGGCGAUCAAGCAUGUUUUGAAAAACCGAACACGAACUUUUGAAGCUUCCGCGUUAAUUUAACUUUGUUUAGACAAUGUUUAUGAUGUAAUCAAUUCACUAAUCAUGUUUGAAUGUUUAAACUAGUUGGUAUUUAACUAGUAUGUGAUCAUUUUAAAACUUCGAUUUUGUA